This 647-nucleotide ribosomal RNA is filed under the name uncultured bacterium. Its description in RNAcentral is "bacterial SSU rRNA". It matches the Rfam family "Bacterial small subunit ribosomal RNA", at positions 75 to 718 of the family's 1533-position model. The record is from RNAcentral.
CUUGCUCUCCGGGUGACGAGCGGCGGACGGGUGAGUAAUGUCUGGGAAACUGCCUGAUGGAGGGGGAUAACUACUGGAAACGGUAGCUAAUACCGCAUAACGUCUUCGGACCAAAGUGGGGGACCUUCGGGCCUCACGCCAUCAGAUGUGCCCAGAUGGGAUUAGCUAGUAGGUGGGGUAAUGGCUCACCUAGGCGACGAUCCCUAGCUGGUCUGAGAGGAUGACCAGCCACACUGGAACUGAGACACGGUCCAGACUCCUACGGGAGGCAGCAGUGGGGAAUAUUGCACAAUGGGCGCAAGCCUGGGUGCGGCCAUGCCGCGUGUGUGAAGAAGGCCUUCGGGUUGUAAAGCACUUUCAGCGAGGAGGAAGGGUGGUAUGUUAAUAGCGCAUCACAUUGACGUUACUCGCAGAAGAAGCACCGGCUAACUCCGUGCCAGCAGCCGCGGUAAUACGGAGGGUGCAAGCGUUAAUCGGAAUUACUGGGCGUAAAGCGCACGCAGGCGGUUUGUUAAGUCAGAUGUGAAAUCCCCGCGCUUAACGUGGGAACUGCAUUUGAAACUGGCAAGCUAGAGUCUUGUAGAGGGGGGUAGAAUUCCAGGUGUAGCGGUGAAAUGCGUAGAGAUCUGGAGGAAUACCGGUGGCGA